RNAcentral lists this ribosomal RNA (504 nucleotides) under uncultured bacterium. Its description in RNAcentral is "bacterial SSU rRNA". It matches the Rfam family "Bacterial small subunit ribosomal RNA", at positions 29 to 507 of the family's 1533-position model. The record is from RNAcentral.
AACGAACGCUGGCGGCGUGCCUAACACAUGCAAGUCGAACGAGAAAUUCCGAUUCGUCGGAAGAGUAGAGUGGCGAACGGGUGAGUAACGCGUGGGUAAUCUGCCCUUGAGUUCGGGAUAACUUCGCGAAAGCGGAGCUAAUACCGAAUAAAACUGACCUUGUUCCGGCAAGAUCAGUAAAAGAUGGCCUCUACAUGUAAGCUGUCGCUUAAGGAUGAGCCCGUGUACCAUUAGCUUGUUGGUAGGGUAAUGGCCUACCAAGGCAACGAUGGUUAGCUGGUCUGAGAGGAUGAUCAGCCACACUGGAACUGAGACACGGUCCAGACUCCUACGGGAGGCAGCAGUGGGGAUUUUGCGCAAUGGGGGAAACCCUGACGCAGCGACGCCGUGUGAGUGAUGAAGGCCUUCGGGUCGUAAAGCUCUGUCAGGUGGGAAGAAAUAUCUCGAUACGAAUAAUAUCGGGGUUUGACGGUACCACCAAAGGAAGCACCGGCUAACUCCGUG